CCGCCCGCCGCCCUCCCGGCUGGGCUGCGGCGCGAGCAGAGCGGAUCCCUCCGCCGGCGGGAGGGGCGGGGGUCGGUGGACUCCGCGGGUCCCCCGCCAGCCCGUCCGAAGGCUGCCAGUGCCUGGAGGGCCUUUCUGGGGAAGCUCCGCGGGGGUGCGCCCCGAGACGUGCUUCCCCAGGCUGGAACUGGAGAAACCGUUUAGUCAUCAGGGUGUUUAUUUUCCGGCUGUUUCCGACGUCGGGAAAGCAGAAUGUUGAGACUGGAGAGAUCCUGGGCUGCUGGAAAAGACUUCUUAGGAACUGGCCUGGGAAUCCAACUUUGGAUGCUUCCCAAAGACCAAGGAAGUGAGCCUCCCGCCAACCACAACUCCAGCCAAUCUCGAGCUCAGGGCAGGUUUGCCAGGGCUGUGAUUGGUCCGCUGAUCCUCCUAGCCUUGGAAUGAAGGCUUCUUAACAAAGGAAUGAGGAAGGAAGCCCCCCCACCCCCAUCCCAACUUCUUUCCUCGUGCCUGGACUCCGCCAGCUGCCAUUGACGUCACGCGUGCGUCAGCGUCGCCAGCCCAACCAGACAGCACGUGGGGAGAAAAAGGACCUGAGUUUGAGCCUCCACUCUUCACCUACAGGGAGGAUGCUUCCCAAGCAGUGAAGCAAGUCUGCAGUCUCUGUCAUCUCUGAAGCAGAGGGGCUGACAGACACUAGAAGGGACUUCCUGCCGAGGAGGAACCCUGAACAGAAGACAGUGACAGCCAGUCUUCCUUGAAGACCAGGAGAAAGAACACAUCUGGCCCAGAAGUGUCACCCUCCUUGUGCAGAUGGAACUUAUUCAUGGGCAACUGUCUUGUCUGGGCCUGGGCAAGAGUUACGGGAGUGUAGGAAGUGGCACACAAUGUCACCAUGCACAGAGACCUGGGUUCAAGCCUCUGCUCCCUACCUACAGGAGGGAAUGUUCAUAAGCAGUAGAGCAGUGCUACAGGUAUCUCUGCUUUUUUCUUUCUAUUUCUCCCCAUCUCUCACCUUCUAGCUAGAAAACAAACAAACAAAACCCCAAAAACCUGCCUGCCCUGGGAACAGUGGAGUCACAUAGACACUGAGCCUCAGUGAUAACCCUGGUAACAAAACAUAACAAGAAUCAAAGGAGAAAAGGCUAUUUUAUUUUCUCUUUAUAUUUUAUUUUACUGUAUUUGAUUUUGUCACUUUUUUAUUGUUGAAUAAUGUUACAUUGAGUGUAUGCCCCAUAAUUUUUAUCCAGUCAUCUGUUGAAAGACAUUGUGGUCAUUUAUAAGUUUUUGCUAUUGUGAAUAAAGCCACUAUGAAUCUCUUCCAGUCA
Long non-coding RNA from Erinaceus europaeus (western European hedgehog), 1328 nucleotides. RefSeq lists it as uncharacterized. The transcript has 7 exons. The record is from RefSeq and is a predicted model, not a curated record. Lineage: Eukaryota; Metazoa; Chordata; Mammalia; Eulipotyphla; Erinaceidae.